GUCAGAGACUUAAAGAGAAGCACAUGCACGUGUGUGUAUUUGUAUGCUUUUAGGUGUAUAUGUAUAUUUUUUGCUGUCUGAACUGAUUCUGAAAUGAAAUUAUCCUGUUGACUUCCAGUCUUAUACCCAGAAUACUGGGAUCUUGUUAUAAAUUUUCACAUUCUGUAGGGGCUUGUAUAUGAAUUUCUGACAGUUCUAUAAAUUAGUUAUAAAAGUGUGUGUGUAAUAUUUAUGGUUUGGGUUGGGAUGAUAACCAUAUCUUUCCUAUCAUUUUCUUUCCACCGUUGUUGACCUGUUGACAUUUGUUAGGCUACAUUUAUUUGGCAUUCUUCUCCUCUCCUCUUGCCCCCCAACUCAGCUUUACUUCUUUCCUUUCUGAUGUACGUUUCUAGAUGAUAAAAAGAGAAGAAGAAUGGCACUUCGUUAUGUAUUUACAUUCCUUAUUUAUUUUCUUUCCUCUCUUAACUUUUGUGGGUAGAUUAGGGUGUACCCCUAAAAUGAAUUUUCU
RNAcentral lists this unclassified non-coding RNA (508 nucleotides) under Hevea brasiliensis (rubber tree). The record is from RNAcentral. Lineage: Eukaryota; Viridiplantae; Streptophyta; Magnoliopsida; Malpighiales; Euphorbiaceae.